UGGGGAAUUUUGGACAAUGGGCGAAAGCCUGAUCCAGCAAUGCCGCGUGUGUGAAGAAGGCCUUCGGGUUGUAAAGCACUUUUGUCCGGAAAGAAAUCCUUGGCUCUAAUACANUCGGGGGAUGACGGUACCGGAAGAAUAAGCACCGGCUAACUACGUGCCAGCAGCCGCGGUAAUACGUAGGGUGCAAGCGUUAAUCGGAAUUACUGGGCGUAAAGCGUGCGCAGGCGGUUUGCUAAGACCGAUGUGAAAUCCCCGGGCUCAACCUGGGAACUGCAUUGGUGACUGGCAGGCUAGAGUAUGGCAGAGGGGGGUAGAAUUCCACGUGUAGCAGUGAAAUGCGUAGAGAUGUGGAGGAAUACCGAUGGCGAAGGCAGCCCCCUGGGCCAAUACUGACGCUCAUGCACGAAAGCGUGGGGAGCAAACAGGAUUAGAUACCCUGGUAGUCCACGCCCUAAACGAUGUCAACUAGUUGUUGGGGAUUCAUUUCCUUAGUAACGUAGCUAACGCGUGAAGUUGACCGCCUGGGGAGUACGGUCGCAAGAUUAAAACUUAAAUGAAUUGACGGGGUCAUAGCUGUUUCCU
RNAcentral lists this ribosomal RNA (585 nucleotides) under uncultured bacterium. RNAcentral's name for it is "partial 16S ribosomal RNA". It matches the Rfam family "Bacterial small subunit ribosomal RNA", at positions 355 to 1375 of the family's 1533-position model. The record is from RNAcentral.